RNAcentral lists this long non-coding RNA (778 nucleotides) under Marmota monax (woodchuck). Lineage: Eukaryota; Metazoa; Chordata; Mammalia; Rodentia; Sciuridae. The record is from RNAcentral.
AAAUAAAGAUGUUGUGUCCACCAAAAACUAAAAAUAAAUAUUGAAAUUCUCUCUCUCUCUCUCUCUCUCUCUCUCUCUCUCUGUCUCUUAAAAAAAAAGAGUGAACUCGUUUGUAUUGAUUUAACAUGUGACAUGUGAGACCCUGUUAAUAACCCAGUCUCUUUAUAAGUCUGUGCUCUUCAGUGCCCUCAGGUGAUUACCAUUCCUAGUUGAAUUAGGGAAUGUUAAAGCACAAUAUUGGACACAAUACCUUUAAACAGUUUUCAGAAGUUUGUUUUGCAUUUUGGAUGUUCCCCACUCUCCAUUCACAUACUGAGGGUUUCCUAUCAUUUGGGCUAUGAUCUGGCCUCUAAUUAGUGUGGUCUUGGUGGACUUGUAAUAGUGGUCUACUUUAUGCUUUGAAUAUAACCCUUGCUGCUCUGCCACUGCAACUUAUUUUUAAAAUGGACAUGUUUCUUCCUCUCUCUUUGCUCCUCUGCUCCUCCCUAAUCUCAGGGGAAACAAGAUUACCUUUCUUCCCCACUUUAGGCAGAUUUAUCUGUCCUUGAGUACACACCUACCAUUGCAAGGAACUAAUUCAGACAUUGGGGAUGGUAUCAGAAGAUAUAAGAAGUGAGUAUCUCCCAAAUUAACAAGUGGAUUAUAAUUCAACAGAAACAUGAGAAAUGUAGCAUUUGAAUCACCUCUUCAAAAGCUCCCUCUUCCUGUUGAUGGGCAGGGUCACAGCCUCUGGGACCAGAGUUCCCUGUGUUUCUCCUUUGCUAGCAAAACAAUAAAC